RNAcentral lists this ribosomal RNA (253 nucleotides) under uncultured bacterium. Its description in RNAcentral is "partial 16S ribosomal RNA". It matches the Rfam family "Bacterial small subunit ribosomal RNA", at positions 524 to 776 of the family's 1533-position model. The record is from RNAcentral.
UACGUAGGGUGCAAGCGUUAAUCGGAAUUACUGGGCGUAAAGCGUGCGCAGGCGGCUUUGCAAGUCAGCUGUGAAAGCCCCGGGCUUAACCUGGGAAUGGCGGUUGAAACUGGCGAACUUGAAUCUGGCAGAGGGGGGUGGAAUUCCACGUGUAGCAGUGAAAUGCGUAGAGAUGUGGAGGAACACCGAUGGCGAAGGCAGCCCCCUGGGCUGAGAUUGACGCUCAGGCACGAAAGCGUGGGGAGCAAACAGG